RNAcentral lists this unclassified non-coding RNA (678 nucleotides) under Hevea brasiliensis (rubber tree). The record is from RNAcentral. Lineage: Eukaryota; Viridiplantae; Streptophyta; Magnoliopsida; Malpighiales; Euphorbiaceae.
AUGAGAGUUGGGAUCGGAGGGAAGUCAAUUCCUGAUUUUUCUUCCCAACCUCCUUACCCAGACGCUGAAUCUUUUCCCGAAUCAUGGUCUGGUUCACCAGACACUCCACGUUUAGGCUCAUGGUUCGAGUCAAGAUAUCAUCGAGACCAUUCCGGGAUAGCCUGUCCCGAUCCUCCUGAAAGAAGAUGGUAGACCCCAGGACUUUGGCAAAAUCGGGGUUCUCCCUAACAGUCCGGUUAUUCUUCAAGGAGUCGAUCAGUAUUUGAGCGCCACGAGAAGAGGUCCUCCCAGAAGCUUGAGUAGGCCCCCUUUCUGUGCUUGGAACAAUUGGGAGAGGUGGAGGCUGCUCUUCCGUUCUAGGAGGAGAUCUGACAGCUUCAGUGGUCGGCGGACCCGAAGGUUGAGGCGGGUCUCUUUGUAUCUCCCCAGGUUCGUGACCGGGUGUUUGAAGUCGUUCCGAACGCUUCAUCUCCUUUAUCUUCCGGGAGAUCUCUCUUUCCUUCUUCCGCUUCCUAGAACCCUCACCACCCGCCAUACCUGCACAAAGAAAAGGUUAGUGAGAUCGCUAAGGUCGUGAGAACUGAGAUAUAGAAAGUACCAAUGCCGAGGUCAGAGAGCGAAAGUUCGCGGUCUUGGCCGGUGAGCAAUUGAAUAGUCCAAUGGUGCAGUUCGGCAGUC